Molecule: ribosomal RNA, 580 nt
Filed under: Kluyvera intermedia
Lineage: Bacteria; Pseudomonadati; Pseudomonadota; Gammaproteobacteria; Enterobacterales; Enterobacteriaceae
Description: bacterial SSU rRNA
Rfam family: Bacterial small subunit ribosomal RNA
Source: RNAcentral
GAGGGGGAUAACUACUGGAAACGGUAGCUAAUACCGCAUAACGUCGCAAGACCAAAGUGGGGGACCUUCGGGCCUCACACCAUCGGAUGUGCCCAGAUGGGAUUAGCUAGUAGGUGGGGUAAUGGCUCACCUAGGCGACGAUCCCUAGCUGGUCUGAGAGGAUGACCAGCCACACUGGAACUGAGACACGGUCCAGACUCCUACGGGAGGCAGCAGUGGGGAAUAUUGCACAAUGGGCGCAAGCCUGAUGCAGCCAUGCCGCGUGUAUGAAGAAGGCCUUCGGGUUGUAAAGUACUUUCAGCGAGGAGGAAGGCAUUGUGGUUAAUAACCGCAGUGAUUGACGUUACUCGCAAAAGAAGCACCGGCUAACUCCGUGCCAGCAGCCGCGGUAAUACGGAGGGUGCAAGCGUUAAUCGGAAUUACUGGGCGUAAAGCGCACGCAGGCGGUCUGUCAAGUCGGAUGUGAAAUCCCCGGGCUCAACCUGGGAACUGCAUUCGAAACUGGCAGGCUAGAGUCUUGUACAGGGGGGUAGAAUUCCAGGUGUAGCGGUGAAAUGCGUAUAGAUCUGGAGGAAUACCG